RNAcentral lists this long non-coding RNA (540 nucleotides) under Androctonus crassicauda. Lineage: Eukaryota; Metazoa; Arthropoda; Arachnida; Scorpiones; Buthidae. The record is from RNAcentral.
GUCGGAAAAAUCUUAUCUGCCUUACCUAGAAAAUGCGGCGGAAGCCGAAUAGGCAUUCCUUGCGAGGCACUUACCCUCCAGAAUUUACCCUCUUCGUUUCGCUGCAGACGGCUCCAAAGAUGACAGUUUGGUUGGCUCUUGUCGUCCGGCCGCGAUGGUACUUCCUCUUUCGUGUAAACGUUUCGUCGACCUAGUCGAGGGGAAAACGGAAGUGCUCGUUAAUGACCCCCAAUUCAAGAGGGGUAGGAAUAAGCUGGAGUAUAUCCUCGCUGCCAGCCCGUUAUGAUCGAAAUCAUACUUAUCUCUAUAUGCAGUUCCGUCCCGCCGAUUUUUACAGACGAAUUCGACACAAUUUUUUCUGCGACCUCCCGGCAAAAGCUGUAAGAGUUUACUGCUGUUUGCCUGCUUACCCUGAUAAACUGCUGUGCACUUAUGACGGGUAGCUUGGCAACCCAGCAGUAGACUAUUUGUAGCAUCUGAAAAAUUAUAAAAAGUGCCGUCAGCAACGUCAAACAGGGCAGUCCCGGCGAUGGCGUGCAC